AAAUAGAUACCCCUGGUAGUCCACGCCGUAAACGAUGAGUGCUAGGUGUUGGGGGGACCCCCUCAGUGCCGCAGGUAACCCAAUAAGCACUCCGCCUGGGGAGUACGGUCGCAAGACUGAAACUCAAAGGAAUUGACGGGGGCCCGCACAAGCGGUGGAGCAUGUGGUUUAAUUCGAGGCAACGCGAAGAACCUUACCAGGGCUUGACAUCCCGCUGACCGGUGUAGAGAUAUGCCUUUCCCCUUCGGGGGACAGCGGUGACAGGUGGUGCAUGGUUGUCGUCAGCUCGUGUCGUGAGAUGUUGGGUUCAGUCCCGCAACGAGCGCAACCCUUGUUUCUAGUUGCCAGCACUUCGGGUGGGCACUCUAGAGAGACAGCCGGUGAAAGCCGGAGGAAGGUGGGGAUGACGUCAAAUCAUCAUGCCCCUUAUGUCCUGGGCUACACACGUGCUACAAUGGCUGGUACAAAGGGCAGCGAACCCGCGAGGGGGAGCCAAUCCCAAAAAACCAGUCUCAGUUCGGAUUGCAGGCUGCAACUCG
Molecule: ribosomal RNA, 539 nt
Filed under: uncultured bacterium
Lineage: Bacteria
Description: bacterial SSU rRNA
Rfam family: Bacterial small subunit ribosomal RNA
Source: RNAcentral